AGUGAACGCUGGCGGUAGGCCUAACACAUGCAAGUCGAACGGCAGCACAGUAAGAGCUUGCUCUUACGGGUGGCGAGUGGCGGACGGGUGAGGAAUACAUCGGAAUCUACUUUUUCGUGGGGGAUAACGUAGGGAAACUUACGCUAAUACCGCAUACGACCUACGGGUGAAAGCAGGGGAUCUUCGGACCUUGCGCGAUUGAAUGAGCCGAUGUCGGAUUAGCUAGUUGGCGGGGUAAAUGCCCACCAAGGCGACGAUCCAUAGCUGGUCUGAGAGGAUGAUCAGCCACACUGGAACUGGGACACGGUCCAGACUCCUACGGGAGGCAGCAGUGGGGAAUAUUGGACAAUGGGCGCAAGCCUGAUCCAGCCAUACCGCGUGGGUGAAGAAGGCCUUCGGGUUGUAAAGCCCUUUUGUUGGGAAAGAAAAGCAGCAGGUUAAUACCCCGCUGUUCUGACGGUACCCAAAGAAUAAGCACCGGCUAACUUCGUG
Molecule: ribosomal RNA, 492 nt
Filed under: uncultured bacterium
Lineage: Bacteria
Description: partial 16S ribosomal RNA
Rfam family: Bacterial small subunit ribosomal RNA
Source: RNAcentral